AUGUCAAGGCUGGGGCAUUUUCUGAAAAAAUUCUUGAAUUUCUCCCAUGCCUCCGGAUAGCUUUCGAGCUCUUUCUGCUUGAAAGUGUGAACUUCAUUCCUGACUU
RNAcentral lists this small nucleolar RNA (106 nucleotides) under Olea europaea subsp. europaea. RNAcentral's name for it is "Plant small nucleolar RNA R71". It matches the Rfam family "Plant small nucleolar RNA R71". Rfam says of the family: R71 is a member of the C/D box family of snoRNAs containing the C (UGAUGA) and D (CUGA) box motifs. Multiple nearly identical copies of this snoRNA have been identified in Arabidopsis, and it is thought to function as a 2'-O-ribose methylation guide for 18S ribosomal RNA. Lineage: Eukaryota; Viridiplantae; Streptophyta; Magnoliopsida; Lamiales; Oleaceae. The record is from Rfam by way of RNAcentral.